GAUGAAGAACGCAGCAAAAUGCGAUAAGUAGUGUGAAUUGCAGAAUUCAGUGAAUCAUCGAAUCUUUGAACGCACAUUGCGCCCCUUGGUAUUCCAUGGGGCAUGCCUGUUCGAGCGUCAUUUGUACCUUCAAGCCUUGCUUGGUGUUGGGUGUUUGUCUCGCCUCUGCGCGCAGACUCGCCUCAAAACAAUUGGCAGCCGGCGUAUUGAUUUCGGAGCGCAGUACAUCUCGCGCUUUGCACUCAGAACGACGACGUCCAAAAGUACAUUUUUACACUCUUGACCUCGGAUCAGGUAGGGAUACCCGCUGAACUUAAGCAUAUCAAUAAGCGGAGGA
Molecule: unclassified non-coding RNA, 337 nt
Filed under: soil metagenome
Description: partial contains 5.8S ribosomal RNA, internal transcribed spacer 2, and large subunit ribosomal RNA
Rfam family: 5.8S ribosomal RNA (bases 1-120)
Source: RNAcentral